GUGUGCAUGGUUGUCGUCAGCUCGUGUCGUGAGAUGUUGGUUAAGUCCCGCAACGAGCGCAACCCCUAUUGUUAGUUGCCAUCAUUCAGUUUGGGGCACUCCUAGCGAGACUGCCGGUAAUAAACCGGAGGAAGGCGGGGAUGACGUCAAAUCAUCAUGCCCCUUAUGACCUGGGCUACACACGUGCUACAAUGGUUGGUACAACGAGUUGCGAGUCGGUGACGGCGAGCUAAUCUCUUAAAGCCAAUCUCAGUUCGGAUUGUAGGCUGCAACUCGCCUACAUGAAGUCGGAAUCGCUAGUAAUCGCGGAUCAGCACGCCGCGGUGAAUACGUUCCCGGGCCUU
Molecule: ribosomal RNA, 344 nt
Filed under: uncultured Streptococcus sp.
Lineage: Bacteria; Bacillati; Bacillota; Bacilli; Lactobacillales; Streptococcaceae
Description: bacterial SSU rRNA
Rfam family: Bacterial small subunit ribosomal RNA
Source: RNAcentral